GGAGCCGUAGCGAAAGCAAGUCUGAAUAGGGCGUUUAGUUGCUGUUAAUUGACCCGAAGCGUUAUGAGCUAGUCAUGGCCAGGUUGAUCUGUCGCGAAGGCGACAAGGAGGACCGAACCGGUUGGAACUGCAAAUCCUUCGGAUGAGCCGUGUCUAGGAGUGAAAAGCUCAUCGAAUAGCGUGAUAGCUGGUUCUCUCCGAAACAAAUUUAGGUUUGACCUGCAAUUAAGAUCCGGUAGAGGUAGAGCUCUUAUAAGGCUAGGGGUGUCGAGAGACAUUACCAAACCUUGUUAAACUUCGAAUGCUACCGUAAAUAUUGUGGAGUUAGACGGUGACAGCAAAUUGCCAUCGUCGAAAGGGUAACAGCCCAGAUUUCUGACUAAGGUCCCUAAAUAAUAGCUAAGUGGGAAAAGAGGUGUCGCUGCUAAGACAUCUAGGAGGUUUGCUCAGAAGCAGCAAUCCUUUAAAGAGUGCGUAACAGCUCACUAGACAAGCGGCGAUGCGCUGAAGAUGUAACGGGGCUAAGCUAUUUACCGAAGUCGAAAGUCUAUUGAUUUAUCAAUAUGGCGGUAGGAGAGUGUUGUAUACGGGUUGAAGCUGAAGUGUAAGCGACAGUGGACUGUAUACAAGUAAUAAUGCUGAUAUGAGUAACGUAUGUAGAUGAAAAUUCUACACGUCGAAUACCUAAGGUUUCCUACGCAACGUUCAUCGACGUAGGGUUAGUCAGGACCUAAGCACAUCCUGAAAAGGUGUCGCGAUGGAUAACUAGUUAAUAUUCUAGUACUUAAAAUAUGGCGAUGGAGGAACGCAUUUGGAUUCAUUGGAGCCUCUUAAGGAUUGGGGUUGUAUAUCGAGGCUUGAUAGUAGGAAAAUCCGCUAUCUUUCGGCCGAGUAAAACACGUAGUCUGAGCAAUCAGACGUAAGUUCAGUUGUUUGGGUGCCAAGAAAAUCUUCUAGCUUAACAUAUUUUAACCUGUACCGAGAACAGACACAUGUAGGUUGGUAGAGAAUACCUAGACGGUCGAAACAACUAAUAACUAAGGAACUUGGCAAAAAAGCGGACGUAACUUCGGGAUAAGUCCUUCCCACAGCAAUGUGGGACGCAGCGAAUGUCGCGGGGGCGACUGUUUAUCACAAACACAGCUUCAUGCUAACACGUAAGUGGAUGUAUAUGAAGUGAUGCCUGUCCGAUGCCAGAAUGUUAAGCUCUCUUGUUCACGCUCGGGAGUCAAGCACUGGUGAAUGACGGCCGUAACUAUGACGGUCCUAAGGUAGCGAAAUUCCUUGUCGGGUAAGUUCCGACCCGCACGAACGGCAUAACGAUCCCCGCACUGUCUCAGUUUUAGUUUCGGUGAAAUUACAAUCCCGGUGAAAAUGCCGGGUAGAUGCAGUUAGACGUGAAGACCCCGUGAAGCUUCACUAUAGAUUGGUAUUGUAUCGUAGCGUAUGUUGCUCAGCAUAAGUAGAAGGCUUUGAAGUCCAAACUCUGGUUUGGGUGGAGCCAAAAAGUGAGAUACUACUCAUUGUACGUCGCGAUACUAACCCGCCAUUGGCGGGAACAGUGCUAGUUGGGUAGUUUACCUGGGGCGGGUGCCUCCUAAAGUGUAACGGAGGUGCACAAAGGUGUUCUUGGUACGGAUGGAAACCGUAUUGUAAGUGUAUUCGCA
RNAcentral lists this ribosomal RNA (1667 nucleotides) under wastewater metagenome. RNAcentral's name for it is "bacterial LSU rRNA". It matches the Rfam family "Bacterial large subunit ribosomal RNA", at positions 662 to 2359 of the family's 2925-position model. The record is from RNAcentral.